RNAcentral lists this ribosomal RNA (1485 nucleotides) under uncultured bacterium. RNAcentral's name for it is "partial 16S ribosomal RNA". It matches the Rfam family "Bacterial small subunit ribosomal RNA". The record is from RNAcentral.
AGAGUUUGAUCCUGGCUCAGAUUGAACGCUGGCGGCAUGCUUUACACAUGCAAGUCGAACGGUAACAGGCCUUCGGGUGCUGACGAGUGGCGAACGGGUGAGUAAAGCAUCGGAACGUACCCAGAGGUGGGGGAUAACGCAGCGAAAGCUGUGCUAAUACCGCAUGUGAUCUGAGGAUGAAAGCGGGGGACCUUCGGGCCUCGCGCCUUUGGAGCGGCCGAUGUCGGAUUAGCUAGUUGGUGGGGUAAAGGCCUACCAAGGCGACGAUCCGUAGCUGGUCUGAGAGGACGACCAGCCACACUGGGACUGAGACACGGCUCAGACUCCUACGGGAGGCAGCAGUGGGGAAUUUUGGACAAUGGGCGCAAGCCUGAUCCAGCAAUGCCGCGUGCGGGAAGAAGGCCUUCGGGUUGUAAACCGCUUUUGGCAGGAACGAAAAGCUCUGGGCGAAUACCCUGGGGUGAUGACGGUACCUGCAGAAUAAGCACCGGCUAACUACGUGCCAGCAGCCGCGGUAAUACGUAGGGUGCGAGCGUUAAUCGGAAUUACUGGGCGUAAAGCGUGCGCAGGCGGUUGUGUAAGACAGGCGUGAAAUCCCCGGGCUCAACCUGGGAAUGGCGCUUGUGACUGCACGGCUGGAGUGCGGCAGAGGGGGAUGGAAUUCCGCGUGUAGCAGUGAAAUGCGUAGAUAUGCGGAGGAACACCGAUGGCGAAGGCAGUCCCCUGGGCCUGCACUGACGCUCAUGCACGAAAGCGUGGGGAGCAAACAGGAUUAGAUACCCUGGUAGUCCACGCCGUAAACGAUGAUCACUCGAUGUUGGCGAUAUACUGUCAGCGUCUAAGCAAAAGCAUUAAGUGAUCCACCUGGGGAGUACGACGGCAACGUUGAAACUCAAAGGAAUUGACGGGGGCCCGCACAAGCGGAGGAACAUGUGGUUCAAUUCGAUGAUACGCGAGGAACCUUACCUGGGUUUGAACGUAGGACGACAGUUGCCGAAAGGUGACCUCCCUUCGGGGCGGCCUACGAGGUGCUGCAUGGUUGUCGUCAGCUCGUGCCGUGAGGUGUCGGAUUAAGUUCCAUAACGAGCGCAACCCUUAUCGUUAGUUGCCAGCGGGUAAUGCCGGGGACUCUAACGAAACUGCCGGUGUAAACCGUGAGGAAGGUGGGGAUGACGUCAAAUCAGCACGGCCCUUACAUCCAGGGCUACACACGUGUUACAAUGGCCGGUACAGAAGGCUGCUACCCCGCGAGGGGAUGCUAAUCCCGAAAGCCGGUCUCAGUUCGGAUUGAAGUCUGCAACUCGACUUCAUGAAGCUGGAUUCGCUAGUAAUCGCGCAUCAGCAACGGCGCGGUGAAUACGUUCCCGGGCCUUGUACACACCGCCCGUCAAGCCAUGGGAGCCAGGAGUACCUAAAGUCCGUAACCGUAAGGAGCGGCCUAGGGUAAAACUGGUGACUGGGGCUAAGUCGUAACAAGGUAGCCGU